GAAGGAAAUUAAGUACGGAAGUUCCUGAUUUCACGCUGUCAAGAAAAGCCUCUAGGAAGAGUAGUACUGCCCGUACCGCAAACCGACACAGGUAGAUGAGGAGAGAAUCCUAAGGUGAGCGAGAGAACUCUCGUUAAGGAACUCGGCAAAAUGACCCCGUAACUUCGGGAGAAGGGGUGCUCUAUUAGGGUGCAAGCCCGAGAGAGCCGCAGUGAAUAGGCCCAGGCGACUGUUUAGCAAAAACACAGGUCUCUGCAAAACCGUAAGGUGACGUAUAGGGGCUGACGCCUGCCCGGUGCUGGAAGGUUAAGAG
This 313-nucleotide ribosomal RNA is filed under the name Listeria monocytogenes. RNAcentral's name for it is "partial 23S ribosomal RNA". It matches the Rfam family "Bacterial large subunit ribosomal RNA", at positions 1570 to 1883 of the family's 2925-position model. The record is from RNAcentral. Lineage: Bacteria; Bacillati; Bacillota; Bacilli; Caryophanales; Listeriaceae.